CCAACCUCACGGCUUGGACCAUGGAAAUUCAAGUCCAAGUUUUGCCUCUCCAAAAUUAAUUCUUGGGUACAAACCCACUAUUUUGAGGUCCCUAAGUAGCGUGGAGGUGUCGUUGGAGCGAUCAAGUCCUUCAUUCAAGAGAUUGCAAACCCUAACCCAUUUGUGGAAUUGAAGGAGAAAGACCUUGGGGAGCCCGAGGCGUAGAUUGGGAUUUACUUAGAUUGGCUAUCUUGGAGUGCGUUCGAGGUACAGAUGCGCAGUUUGGUGAUCCACCAGUUUAGGACAUCAUCCUUUGCUGUUCGGAGUGCUCUUCUCACUUCAGAGCAUAUGUUUUGGUAUACAGUUUCGUUCGUUGUGUAUGUAUUUGUUCAGGGGUACGGCGGGGCCCUGUCCCGCCAUAUGAUUCGGUUGGUUUGUUUAGAGGUCUGUAGACGUAUUUGUGGGUGUGUGUGCCUACUUCUGUUCCGAUGUG
Long non-coding RNA from Lycium barbarum (goji berry), 472 nucleotides. RefSeq lists it as uncharacterized. NCBI's taxonomy places the organism in Eukaryota, Viridiplantae, Streptophyta, Magnoliopsida, Solanales, Solanaceae. The record is from RefSeq and is a predicted model, not a curated record. The transcript is spliced from 3 exons.